AUGGACGGAAGAGAGCGUCCUUCAGUCCACUCACAGGCGGUGCUAGGAUCGAAUUAGCUGCCGACUCAUUCAUCCACUUGCCGAGCAAAGUUAUUUGCCGAGGAGCUUAGCAGGUGAGUGAAUGAAGCGGGAGGUAAAGUCUUUGAUCUCGCACCGUCGUUGCUUGGACUGAAGGGUGCUCCCUCCUCCUCUCUA
This is a non-coding RNA of Triticum urartu, 195 nucleotides long. Lineage: Eukaryota; Viridiplantae; Streptophyta; Magnoliopsida; Poales; Poaceae. The record is from Rfam.